GAAUAUUGGACAAUGGGGGGAACCCUGAUCCAGCCAUGCCGCGUGUGUGAAGAAGGCCUUUUGGUUGUAAAGCCCUUUUGUUGGGGAAGAAAUCCUGCUGGCUAAUACCCGGCGGGGAUGACGGUACCCAAAGAAUAAGCCCCGGCUAACUUCGUGCCAGCAGCCGCGGUAAUACGAAGGGUGCAAGCGUUACACGGAAUUACUGGGCGUAAAGCGUGCGUAGGUGGUGGCUUAAGUCCGUUGUGAAAGCCCUGGGCUCAACCUGGGAAUUGCAGUGGAUACUGGGUCACUAGAGUGUGGUAGAGGGUGGCGGAAUUCCCGGUGUAGCAGUGAAAUGCGUAGAGAUCGGGAGGAACACCCGUGGCGAAGGCGGCCACCUGGGCCAACACUGACACUGAGGCACGAAAGCGUGGGGAGCAAACAG
This 424-nucleotide ribosomal RNA is filed under the name uncultured bacterium. Its description in RNAcentral is "bacterial SSU rRNA". It matches the Rfam family "Bacterial small subunit ribosomal RNA", at positions 359 to 775 of the family's 1533-position model. The record is from RNAcentral.